RNAcentral lists this transfer RNA (89 nucleotides) under Planoprotostelium fungivorum. RNAcentral's name for it is "tRNA-Leu". It matches the Rfam family "tRNA". Rfam says of the family: Transfer RNA (tRNA) molecules are approximately 80 nucleotides in length. Lineage: Eukaryota; Evosea; Variosea; Cavosteliida; Cavosteliaceae. The record is from RNAcentral.
GGUCGUCUGGCGAAAUGGUAGCCGCGAAUGACUCAAAAUCAUUUGUGUUGUACACGUACAAGUUCAACUCUUGUGACGACCACCACCAC